RNAcentral lists this ribosomal RNA (301 nucleotides) under uncultured bacterium. Its description in RNAcentral is "partial 16S ribosomal RNA". It matches the Rfam family "Bacterial small subunit ribosomal RNA", at positions 509 to 809 of the family's 1533-position model. The record is from RNAcentral.
CAGUAGCCGCGGUAAUACGUAGGUGGCAAGCGUUGUCCGGAAUUAUUGGGCGUAAAGCGCGCGCAGGCGGAUAGGUCAGUCUGUCUUAAAAGUUCGGGGCUUAACCCCGUGAUGGGAUGGAAACUGCCAAUCUAGAGUAUCGGAGAGGAAAGUGGAAUUCCUAGUGUAGCGGUGAAAUGCGUAGAUAUUAGGAAGAACACCAGUGGCGAAGGCGACUUUCUGGACGAAAACUGACGCUGAGGCGCGAAAGCCAGGGGAGCGAACGGGAUUAGAUACCCCAGUAGUCCCUGUCUCUUAUACA